This 457-nucleotide ribosomal RNA is filed under the name uncultured bacterium. Its description in RNAcentral is "bacterial SSU rRNA". It matches the Rfam family "Bacterial small subunit ribosomal RNA", at positions 30 to 530 of the family's 1533-position model. The record is from RNAcentral.
AUUGAACGCUGGCGGCAUGGCUAAAACAUGCAAGUCGAACGAUCCCUUCGGGGAGAGUGGCGAAAGGGCGAGGAAUAGAAUCGAAUGUACCCCAAGGUGGGGGAUAGCCUCUGGAAACGGAGGGUAAUACCCCAUGUGCUCUACGGAGGAAAGGUUUACCGCCUUGGGAGCAGCGAUUCUCCUAUCAGGUAGUUGGUGAGGUAACGGCUCACCAAGCCGAAGACGGGUAGCGGGUGUGAGAGCAUGACCCGCCGCAUCGGGACUGAGACACUGCCCGGACUCCUACGGGAGGCUGCAGUAACGAAUCUUCCGCAAUGGGCGAAAGCCUGACGGAGCAAUGCCGCGUGUGGGAUGAAGCAUCUUCGAUGUGUAAACCACUGUCAGGGUCUAGGAAUACUGACCAGACCCAAAGGAAGGGCCGGCUAAUUCCGUGCCAGCAGCCGCGGUAAUGUCAGUG